This 1119-nucleotide ribosomal RNA is filed under the name uncultured organism. Its description in RNAcentral is "bacterial SSU rRNA". It matches the Rfam family "Bacterial small subunit ribosomal RNA", at positions 199 to 1349 of the family's 1533-position model. The record is from RNAcentral.
GAGUAAAGACCUCGGUCGCUUUGGGAGGAGCUCGCUUACUAUCAGCUUGUUGGUAGGGUAACGGCCUACCAAGGCUAUGACGGUUAGGGGGUGUGAGAGCAUGACCCCCAGCAUUGGCACUGAAACACUGGCCAAACACCUACGGGUGGCUGCAGUCGAGAAUCUUCCACAAUGGGGGAAACCCUGAUGGAGCGAUGCUGCGUGCGGGAUGAAGGCCUUCGGGUUGUAAACCGCUUCUGUAGGGGACGAAAUUUUUGACGGUACCCUUUCGAAUAAGAGGUUGCUAACUCUGUGCCAGCAGCAGCGGUAAUACAGAGACCUCAAGCGUUAUCCGGAUUUACUGGGCGUAAAGCGUCUGUAGGGGGUUUAUUAAGUUCCAAGUAAAAUUUCAAGGCUCAACUUUGAAUUCGCUUGGAAAACUAAUAAACUGGAGUCUAGCAGAGGUGCAUGGAACUUGUGGUGUAGGAGUGAAAUCCGUUGAUAUCACAAGGAACACCAAAGGCGAAGGCAUUGCACUGGGCUAGCACUGACCCUGAGAGACGAAAGCGUGGGGAGCAAAACGGAUUAGAUACCCGUGUAGUCCACGCCCUAAACGAUGAAUGCUAAAUGUUCGGGGAUUCGACCCCCUGGGUGUUACAGCUAACGCGUUAAGCAUUCCGCCUGGGAAGUACGGCCGCAAGGCUAAAACUCAAAGGAAUAGACGGGGAUCCGCACAAGCGGUGGAGCGUCUGGUUUAAUUCGACAGUAAGCGUGGUACCUCACCAGGGUUUGACAUCCCUUGACAGCCUUGGAAACAAGGUUUCCUUCGGGCAAGGUGACAGGUGCUGCAUGGUCGUCGUCAGUUCGUGCCGUGAGGUGUUCCGUUAAGUCGGGAAACGAACGAAACCCCUAUUGCAUGUUACAAUUUCUCAUGCAAGACUGCCCGGAUAUACUGGGAGGAAGGUGGGGAUGACGUCAGAUCUGCAUGGUCCUUAUACCCUGGGCGACACAGGCGCUACAAUGGCAGAGACAAAGGGUUGCAAAACCGCAAGGUGAAGCUAAUCCCAAAAACUUUGUCUAAGUUCGGAUUGAAGGCUGCAAUUCGCCUUCAUGAAGCUGGAAUCGCUAGUAAUCGUGAAU